GCCUCGGAAGCUAACUCGGUAGAAGCGGCGGACUGAAAAUCCGCAGGAACUGGUUCGACACCAGUCUGGGGCACCA
This 76-nucleotide transfer RNA is filed under the name Caudoviricetes sp. Its description in RNAcentral is "tRNA-Phe". It matches the Rfam family "tRNA". Rfam says of the family: Transfer RNA (tRNA) molecules are approximately 80 nucleotides in length. Their secondary structure includes four short double-helical elements and three loops (D, anti-codon, and T loops). Further hydrogen bonds mediate the characteristic L-shaped molecular structure. tRNAs have two regions of fundamental functional importance: the anti-codon, which is responsible for specific mRNA codon recognition, and the 3' end, to which the tRNAs corresponding amino acid is attached (by aminoacyl-tRNA synthetases). tRNAs cope with the degeneracy of the genetic code in two manners: having more than one tRNA (with a specific anti-codon) for a particular amino acid; and 'wobble' base-pairing, i.e. permitting non-standard base-pairing at the 3rd anti-codon position. Lineage: Duplodnaviria; Heunggongvirae; Uroviricota; Caudoviricetes. The record is from RNAcentral.